CCCACGCGAUUUAAAUUGCAGCCCAAACCGUGAACAGUUCUCAAGGCCUUAUUUUCACAUAGUCCGCCGAGCUUCUUGUAGACCAAAUGGUUCAUAAUGGACCACCAGCUCGCGGAUUGAUUCAUUAAAUUUUUGAAUUUAAUUUUAAAUCUAUUUUAAUUUUAUUUUUGAUCUCAUUUAAUUUUUUUAAGUCUGCAGAUCAGGUUUUUCAUGAUGGU
This 218-nucleotide long non-coding RNA is filed under the name Elaeis guineensis (African oil palm). RNAcentral's name for it is "long non-coding RNA (EGUI_LNC082492)". The record is from RNAcentral. Lineage: Eukaryota; Viridiplantae; Streptophyta; Magnoliopsida; Arecales; Arecaceae.